UACAGAGGGUGCAAGCGUUGUCCGGAAUCAUUGGGCGUAAAGAGCGCGUAGGCGGCCCUGUAAGUCCGCUGUGAAAGUCAAGGGCUCAACCCUUGGAUGCCGGUGGAUACUGCAGGGCUAGAGUCCGGAAGAGGCGAGUGGAAUUCCUGGUGUAGCGGUGAAAUGCGCAGAUAUCAGGAGGAACACCGAUGGCGAAGGCAGCUCGCUGGGACGGUACUGACGCUGAGGCGCGAAAGCAUGGGGAGCAAACAGG
RNAcentral lists this ribosomal RNA (253 nucleotides) under uncultured bacterium. RNAcentral's name for it is "partial 16S ribosomal RNA". It matches the Rfam family "Bacterial small subunit ribosomal RNA", at positions 524 to 776 of the family's 1533-position model. The record is from RNAcentral.